Non-coding RNA from Suillus lakei, 104 nucleotides. The record is from the annotation of a GenBank genome assembly. NCBI's taxonomy places the organism in Eukaryota, Fungi, Basidiomycota, Agaricomycetes, Boletales, Suillaceae.
GCCCUGAUGGCUCAGUUGGUUAGAGCGCAGGUCUCAUACUUCUGUAUGACCGGUGUUGAUACCGGGCAAUCCUGAGGUCGCAAGUUCGAACCUUGCUCAGGGCA